CACCGCCUGGGGAGUACGACCGCAAGGUUAAAACUCAAAUGAAUUGACGGGGACCCGCACAAGUAGUGGAGCAUGUGGUUUAAUUCGAAGAUACGCGCAGAACCUUACCAACACUUGACAUGUUCGUCGCGACUCUAAGAGAUUAGAGUUUUCGGUUCGGCCGGACGAAACACAGGUGCUGCAUGGCUGUCGUCGGCUCGUGUCGUGAGAUGUUGGGUUAAGUCCCGCAACGAGCGCAACCCUCACUUUUAGUUGCCAUCAUUUAGUUGGGCACUCUGAAAGAACUGCCAGUGAUAAGCUGGAGGAAGGUGGGGAUGACGUCAAGUCCUCAUGGCCCUUACGUGUUGGGCUACACACGUGCUACAACGGUAUCUACAACAGGAAGCAAGACUGCGAGGUCAAGCAAAUCCUUAAAAGAUACCUCAGUUCGGAUUGCACUCUGCAACUCGAGUGCAUGAAGCUGGAAUUACUAGUAAUCGUGGAUCAGCGUGCCACGGUGAAUGCGUUCCCGGGUCUUGUACACACCGCCCGUCACACCAUGGGAGUUGGUUCUACCUUAAGGCAAGGUUUAAAACCCUUGACCACGGUAUAGUCAGCGACUGGGGUGAAGUCGUAACAAGGUAGCCGUAGGGGAACCUGCGGCUGGAUUACCUCCUUUCUAAGGAUGAAUGAAAGUAAAAUUUCAUUCUAAAUAAUAUACAGGUAAUGUUGACCGUCCUCAUUUCUCUUCUUAAAGUAGUGUUUCUCUUGCAUGGGGGCCGGUAGCUCAGUUGGUUAGAGCACACCCUUGAUAAGGGUGGGGUCGAAAGUUCGAGUCUUUCUCGGCCCACCAAUUAAAGAUCAUGGGGGAUUAGCUCAGCUGGGAGAGCGCCUGAUUUGCAUUCAGGAGGUCAGCGGUUCGAUCCCGCUAUCCUCCACCAAAACACUUAGUUAUAAAAAAUUGUGAAAAAAAUAAUAAUUAAUAUCAAUAUCUAUAUCCGAACAUUAGUAAAGUUAUUAGCUAAUGUUCAAAAAAAAAUUUGAUUCAACACAGAAUUUUUUUCUG
Molecule: small RNA, 1045 nt
Filed under: uncultured Pelagibacterales bacterium
Lineage: Bacteria; Pseudomonadati; Pseudomonadota; Alphaproteobacteria; Candidatus Pelagibacterales
Description: bacterial SSU rRNA
Rfam family: Bacterial small subunit ribosomal RNA (bases 1-658)
Source: RNAcentral